AAAGACCUUAUGCUUUUGGAGCGGCCGAUGUCUGAUUAGCUAGUUGGUGGGGUAAUUGCCUACCAAGGCGACGAUCAGUAGUUGGUCUGAGAGGACGACCAGCCACACUGGGACUGAGACACGGCCCAGACUCCUACGGGAGGCAGCAGUGGGGAAUUUUGGACAAUGGGCGCAAGCCUGAUCCAGCAAUGCCGCGUGAGUGAAGAAGGCCUUCGGGUUGUAAAGCUCUUUCAGUUGAGAAGAAAAGAUUGUAACUAAUAAUUACAGUUCAUGACGGUAUCAACAGAAGAAGCACCGGCUAACUACGUGCCAGCAGCCGCGGUAAUACGUAGGGUGCGAGCGUUAAUCGGAAUUACUGGGCGUAAAGGGUGCGCAGGCGGUUCUGUAAGUCAGAUGUGAA
Molecule: ribosomal RNA, 400 nt
Filed under: uncultured ammonia-oxidizing beta proteobacterium
Lineage: Bacteria; Pseudomonadati; Pseudomonadota; Betaproteobacteria
Description: bacterial SSU rRNA
Rfam family: Bacterial small subunit ribosomal RNA
Source: RNAcentral